UAGGGAAUAUUAGAAAUGGGCGAAAGCCUGAUCUAGCGACACCGCGUGUGCGAUGAAGGCCUUCGGGUUGUAAAGCACUUUUUGGAAGGAAUAGGAAGGAAGGUACUUCCAGAAUAAGUCUCGGCUAACUACGUGCCAGCAGCCGCGGUAACACGUAGGAGGCAAACGUUAUCCGGAUUUACUGGGCGUAAAGCGCGUGUAGGUGGUUUUGUAAGUAGGGCGUGAAAGCUCCUGGCUCAACUGGGAGAGGCCGUUCUAAACUGCAGAACUAGAGGAUGGUAGAGGGAGGUGGAAUUCCGGGUGUAGCGGUGGAAUGCGCAGAUAUCCGGAGGAACACCAGUGGCGAGGGCGGCCUCCUGGGCCAUUCCUGACACUCAGACGCGAAAGCUAGGGUAGCAAACGGG
This 404-nucleotide ribosomal RNA is filed under the name uncultured bacterium. Its description in RNAcentral is "bacterial SSU rRNA". It matches the Rfam family "Bacterial small subunit ribosomal RNA", at positions 355 to 776 of the family's 1533-position model. The record is from RNAcentral.